GAUGAACGCUGGCGGCGUGCCUAAUACAUGCCAGUCGAGCGAACAGACGAGGAGCUUGCUCCUCUGACGUUAGCGGCGGACGGGUGAGUAACACGUGGAUAACCUACCUAUAAGACUGGGAUAACUUCGGGAAACCGGAGCUAAUACCGGAUAACAUGUUGAACCGCAUGGUUCAACAGUGAAAGACGGUCUUGCUGUCACUUAUAGAUGGAUCCGCGCCGCAUUAGCUAGUUGGUAAGGUAACGGCUUACCAAGGCAACGAUGCGUAGCCGACCUGAGAGGGUGAUCGGCCACACUGGAACUGAGACACGGUCCAGACUCCUACGGGAGGCAGCAGUAGGGAAUCUUCCGCAAUGGGCGAAAGCCUGACGGAGCAACGCCGCGUGAGUGAUGAAGGUCUUCGGAUCGUAAAACCCUGUUAUUAGGGAAGAACAAAUGUGUAAGUAACUAUGCACGUCUUGACGGUACCUAAUCAGAAAGCCACGGCUAACUACGUG
Molecule: ribosomal RNA, 497 nt
Filed under: uncultured bacterium
Lineage: Bacteria
Description: partial 16S ribosomal RNA
Rfam family: Bacterial small subunit ribosomal RNA
Source: RNAcentral